Magallana angulata is the source of this 1041-nucleotide long non-coding RNA. RefSeq lists it as uncharacterized. The record is from RefSeq and is a predicted model, not a curated record. The transcript is spliced from 4 exons. NCBI's taxonomy places the organism in Eukaryota, Metazoa, Mollusca, Bivalvia, Ostreida, Ostreidae.
GGGAAAACCACAUGGUUGAGUCGGAGAAGUUGAUCAUGACGGAGAGAACGAGGAACGGCAGUCUGAGCGUUUUCUAACAUGUGUUCUAAACUUUAUGGGGUUCGCCUAUGUGGAAAGUUCUGGUACCUGCAGAAAUCAGGAAAUAUCUCAGUAGAGUUGUGUGGGAUGGUGGGUCAGGAUUUAUACCAACGGAAAAAAAAAUCUCAGUAGAAUACAGUAAUUAAACAAGGCAUUUUCCUUGGUCUGACAAAGGUUUACAGCAAAAUGAUCCAAGGUCAUGUGUAAAGGUCAAGGUCUAUUCUUAUUUACUGAUCUCGGGACCAAGGCCAUUUUAUGAGAUAUUCUACGCUUCAUUCUACGAUCUUUGAAUGAUAAAUGUCAGAAUGGAUGAGAAAAUCUCACCUUCGUAAGCAGUUAAUCGCGCAGUAGAAAAAAAGCCCCAUCUAAUCCCUAAGAAAACGUAAUGCGCCAUAUCUGUCUGUAUUAAUUAUCAGGGAUUGCAUAAAUAAUGCACUCAGAUCAUUUUUUGGAGGUCUUUGAUUUAGAUCACUCAGGGCUUAAAAUAAGAAGAUAGAACUGAUACCAAAGUAAUUUAUUAUUUUCUGCCUUUUUUCUUUCUUUCUUCACGAUGACAUCAUAAUGAAUUAUAUAACAGUUGAGUGAAGGGGAAAAAAUGUCCCAAGGUCUGGGAUUAUGAGUCAUUUGGAGUAAUCAUAUCCAGAAAAUGCAAAAAUUCCUUGAAGCCCCCAUCCCCCUUCCCUCAAUUUUGCUCUCUUUUUUGCAGAAUUUAUAAGGAAUCGAAAUGCCAUUUUUUUUUUUUUUUUUUCAAAAUUUAAGUUGAUUCUGGAUAAGAUGUUUGUGCCUUAUGUGAGAAAUUGAAAGGGGUAGGUAGUAUAUUUUAACAGCAGUCGUUCACAUUAUCUCCGAGCUCUGUCUGCGCCUUCUGCAUAUAUUGAAUGUUGACGAUUUUGACUCACUAUUUCUUGCAUAAUUAACUGUCUUCUGAGCAGUUGCGUCACUUUGGGAGUAAAAAUAGAACUG